This 389-nucleotide ribosomal RNA is filed under the name uncultured bacterium. Its description in RNAcentral is "bacterial SSU rRNA". It matches the Rfam family "Bacterial small subunit ribosomal RNA", at positions 29 to 417 of the family's 1533-position model. The record is from RNAcentral.
AUUGAACGCUGGCGGCAUGCCUUACACAUGCAAGUCGAACGGCAGCACGGGGGCAACCCUGGUGGCGAGUGGCGAACGGGUGAGUAAUGCAUCGGAACGUGCCCAGUAGUGGGGGAUAACUAGUCGAAAGAUUAGCUAAUACCGCAUACGACCUAUGGGUGAAAGCGGGGGAUUCGCAAGAACCUCGCGCUAUCGGAGCGGCCGAUGUCUGAUUAGCUAGUUGGCGGGGUAAAAGCCCACCAAGGCGACGAUCAGUAGCUGGCCUGAGAGGACGACCAGCCACACUGGGACUGAGACACGGCCCAGACUCCUACGGGAGGCAGCAGUGGGGAAUUUUGGACAAUGGGCGCAAGCCUGAUCCAGCCAUGCCGCGUGCGGGAAGAAGGCCU